UUAAGCGACUAAGCGUACACGGUGGAUGCCCUGGCAGUCAGAGGCGAUGAAGGACGUGCUAAUCUGCGAUAAGCGUCGGUAAGGUGAUAUGAACCGUUAUAACCGGCGAUUUCCGAAUGGGGAAACCCAGUGUGUUUCGACACACUAUCAUUAACUGAAUCCAUAGGUUAAUGAGGCGAACCGGGGGAACUGAAACAUCUAAGUACCCCGAGGAAAAGAAAUCAACCGAGAUUCCCCCAGUAGCGGCGAGCGAACGGGGAGCAGCCCAGAGCCUGAAUCAGUGUGUGUGUUAGUGGAAGCGUCUGGAAAGGCGCGCGAUACAGGGUGACAGCCCCGUACACAAAAAUGCACAUGCUGUGAGCUCGAUGAGUAGGGCGGGACACGUGGUAUCCUGUCUGAAUAUGGGGGGACCAUCCUCCAAGGCUAAAUACUCCUGACUGACCGAUAGUGAACCAGUACCGUGAGGGAAAGGCGAAAAGAACCCCGGCGAGGGGAGUGAAAAAGAACCUGAAACCGUGUACGUACAAGCAGUGGGAGCCUCUUUUAUGGGGUGACUGCGUACCUUUUGUAUAAUGGGUCAGCGACUUAUAUUCUGUAGCAAGGUUAACCGAAUAGGGGAGCCGAAGGGAAACCGAGUCUUAACUGGGCGUUAAGUUGCAGGGUAUAGACCCGAAACCCGGUGAUCUAGCCAUGGGCAGGUUGAAGGUUGGGUAACACUAACUGGAGGACCGAACCGACUAAUGUUGAAAAAUUAGCGGAUGACUUGUGGCUGGGGGUGAAAGGCCAAUCAAACCGGGAGAUAGCUGGUUCUCCCCGAAAGCUAUUUAGGUAGCGCCUCGUGAAUUCAUCUCCGGGGGUAGAGCACUGUUUCGGCAAGGGGGUCAUCCCGACUUACCAACCCGAUGCAAACUGCGAAUACCGGAGAAUGUUAUCACGGGAGACACACGGCGGGUGCUAACGUCCGUCGUGAAGAGGGAAACAACCCAGACCGCCAGCUAAGGUCCCAAAGUCAUGGUUAAGUGGGAAACGAUGUGGGAAGGCCCAGACAGCCAGGAUGUUGGCUUAGAAGCAGCCAUCAUUUAAAGAAAGCGUAAUAGCUCACUGGUCGAGUCGGCCUGCGCGGAAGAUGUAACGGGGCUAAACCAUGCACCGAAGCUGCGGCAGCGACGCUGAUGCGUUGUUGGGUAGGGGAGCGUUCUGUAAGCCUGUGAAGGUGUGCUGUGAGGCAUGCUGGAGGUAUCAGAAGUGCGAAUGCUGACAUAAGUAACGAUAAAGCGGGUGAAAAGCCCGCUCGCCGGAAGACCAAGGGUUCCUGUCCAACGUUAAUCGGGGCAGGGUGAGUCGACCCCUAAGGCGAGGCCGAAAGGCGUAGUCGAUGGGAAACAGGUUAAUAUUCCUGUACUUGGUGUUACUGCGAAGGGGGGACGGAGAAGGCUAUGUUGGCCGGGCGACGGUUGUCCCGGUUUAAGCGUGUAGGCUGGUUUUCCAGGCAAAUCCGGAAAAUCAAGGCUGAGGCGUGAUGACGAGGCACUACGGUGCUGAAGCAACAAAUGCCCUGCUUCCAGGAAAAGCCUCUAAGCAUCAGGUAACAUCAAAUCGUACCCCAAACCGACACAGGUGGUCAGGUAGAGAAUACCAAGGCGCUUGAGAGAACUCGGGUGAAGGAACUAGGCAAAAUGGUGCCGUAACUUCGGGAGAAGGCACGCUGAUAUGUAGGUGAAGUCCCUUGCGGAUGGAGCUGAAAUCAGUCGAAGAUACCAGCUGGCUGCAACUGUUUAUUAAAAACACAGCACUGUGCAAACACGAAAGUGGACGUAUACGGUGUGACGCCUGCCCGGUGCCGGAAGGUUAAUUGAUGGGGUCAGCGCAAGCGAAGCUCUUGAUCGAAGCCCCGGUAAACGGCGGCCGUAACUAUAACGGUCCUAAGGUAGCGAAAUUCCUUGUCGGGUAAGUUCCGACCUGCACGAAUGGCGUAAUGAUGGCCAGGCUGUCUCCACCCGAGACUCAGUGAAAUUGAACUCGCUGUGAAGAUGCAGUGUACCCGCGGCAAGACGGAAAGACCCCGUGAACCUUUACUAUAGCUUGACACUGAACAUUGAGCCUUGAUGUGUAGGAUAGGUGGGAGGCUUAGAAGUGUGGACGCCAGUCUGCAUGGAGCCGACCUUGAAAUACCACCCUUUAAUGUUUGAUGUUCUAACGUUGACCCGUAAUCCGGGUUGCGGACAGUGUCUGGUGGGUAGUUUGACUGGGGCGGUCUCCUCCUAAAGAGUAACGGAGGAGCACGAAGGUUGGCUAAUCCUGGUCGGACAUCAGGAGGUUAGUGCAAUGGCAUAAGCCAGCUUGACUGCGAGCGUGACGGCGCGAGCAGGUGCGAAAGCAGGUCAUAGUGAUCCGGUGGUUCUGAAUGGAAGGGCCAUCGCUCAACGGAUAAAAGGUACUCCGGGGAUAACAGGCUGAUACCGCCCAAGAGUUCAUAUCGACGGCGGUGUUUGGCACCUCGAUGUCGGCUCAUCACAUCCUGGGGCUGAAGUAGGUCCCAAGGGUAUGGCUGUUCGCCAUUUAAAGUGGUACGCGAGCUGGGUUUAGAACGUCGUGAGACAGUUCGGUCCCUAUCUGCCGUGGGCGCUGGAGAACUGAGGGGGGCUGCUCCUAGUACGAGAGGACCGGAGUGGACGCAUCACUGGUGUUCGGGUUGUCAUGCCAAUGGCACUGCCCGGUAGCUAAAUGCGGAAGAGAUAAGUGCUGAAAGCAUCUAAGCACGAAACUUGCCCCGAGAUGAGUUCUCCCUGACUCCUUGA
This 2798-nucleotide ribosomal RNA is filed under the name Escherichia coli 201600.1. Its description in RNAcentral is "bacterial LSU rRNA". It matches the Rfam family "Bacterial large subunit ribosomal RNA". The record is from RNAcentral. Lineage: Bacteria; Pseudomonadati; Pseudomonadota; Gammaproteobacteria; Enterobacterales; Enterobacteriaceae.